UCAAUAUAAAUUGAUUAAUAUUUAUUUAUUAAUUUAUUACCUUUGGUUAUAUUAAUUAUUAAAAAUAAUUAUAAAUAAUUUAUGUUUUAGUAAGUUUUAUUGAACUAAUUUUAUUAAUAAUAGUUUAUUAGUACUGUGGAGGGUUAUUGAAAUAAUUUGAAAAAUUUUUAUAAUAAAAGAAAAUUUAUAUUAUUGUACCUUGUGUAUCAGGGUGGAUUAAUUAUUUAGUAUUUAUUUACUAUUCUCGAUUUUAUAAGAGUUAGUUAUAUAUUUAAGUUAAUGUAUCAAAAUUAUUUAUAAUAUAUAAUUAGAAAUGAGAUGUUAUUCGUUUAUAAUGGUAUCUAGUUUUUUUAGAAAUUAAUUUAAUUUAGUAAUUUUUAGUUUUUAUUUUAAUUAUAUAAAAUAAAAAUUUAUUAAUUAUAAUAUUUUAAGGGAUAAGCUUUAAAAUAAAUUUUUAAAAAUUUAUUUAAUUUUUUAAAAUGUAUGCAUAGAAUUUGUAAUCAUUUAUGAAUUUGUUAUAAAUUAUGAAAUUAUUUAUAAUAUUUAAUUGAAUUUUAAUUAUUUAUAAAAAUUUUUUAUUUAAUUAUUUUAUAAAAUUAAUAAUGAUUUAAUUAGUAUAUUUAUAUAUAUAUAUAUAUAUAUAUUGUUUUAAGUAUAUUAAAUUGUGAAGUUUAUAUAAAUAACUCGGCAAAUAUAAAUACUCGCCUGUUUAACAAAAACAUGUCUUUUUGUAUUAAAUUUAAAGUCUGACCUGCCCAAUGAUAUUAUUUAAUGGCCGCAGUAUUUUAACUGUGCAAAGGUAGCAUAAUAAUUAGUCUUUUAAUUGAAGGCUGGUAUGAAUGGUUGGACGUAGUAUAAGCUGUUUCAUAUAAAAUUAAAAUAUAAUUUUAUUUUUUAGUCAAAAAGCUAAAAUUUAACUAAAAGACGAGAAGACCCUAUAAAUCUUUAUAUUUUUAUAUAUUUUAAUUUUUUAGAUUAUUUUUACUAUAAUUUAUAAAAGUAUUUUAUUGGGGUGAUAUUAAAAUUUAAAAAACUUUUAAUUUAUUAAAUCAUUGAUUUAUGAAUUAAUGAUCUUUUAUUAUGGAUUAUAAGAUUAAGUUACUUUAGGGAUAACAGCGUAAUUUUUUUGGAGAGUUCUUAUCGAUAAAAGAGAUUGCGACCUCGAUGUUGGAUUAAGAUAAAUAUUUAGGUGUAGCCGCUUAAAUUUUAAGUCUGUUCGACUUU
This 1224-nucleotide ribosomal RNA is filed under the name Rivellia cestoventris. RNAcentral describes it as "partial 16S ribosomal RNA". Lineage: Eukaryota; Metazoa; Arthropoda; Insecta; Diptera; Platystomatidae. The record is from RNAcentral.